AGUUUCCCAGUGCUGGAAUAUAGAAAAUGGAUGGACAAGUAAAUCCCACUCAGCACCCAUAGUCCAGGCAUGGGGACCUCAACACACCUGAGCCCCAGACAUCACCUUUCAUUGCGAGUAGCUCUGAGAUGACACUUCUGCUGUUCCCAAUUCCAGCAUUGAGUGAAAUUACCAUAAAAAUAAUAAUAGUAGCAGCUAAUAUUUACUGAGCUGUUACUAGGUGCAUCCAGGAAGAGAAACUGACUGGGCAACAUGUUAUUCAGGUACAAAAAGACUUG
RNAcentral lists this long non-coding RNA (278 nucleotides) under Homo sapiens (human). RNAcentral describes it as "non-protein coding lnc-OR4F29-3:10". The record is from RNAcentral. Lineage: Eukaryota; Metazoa; Chordata; Mammalia; Primates; Hominidae.